CAGCGGUGGAGCAUGUGGUUAAUUCGACGCAACGACGAAGAACCUUACCAGGCUUGACAUCCCUGACCGCGUAUGAAAGUACGUUUUCACCUCGGUGACAGGGAGACAGGUGGUGCAUGGUUGUCGUCAGCUCGUGUCGUGAGAUGUUGGGUUAAGUCCCGCAACGAGCGCAACCCCUAUUGUUAGUUGCCAUCAUUCAGUUGGGCACUCUAGCGAGACUGCCGGUAAUAAACCGGAGGAAGGUGGGGAUGACGUCAAAUCAUCAUGCCCCUUAUGACCUGGGCUACACACGUGCUACAAUGGUUGGUACAACGAGUUGCGAGUCGGUGACGGCGAGCUAAUCUCUUAAAGCCAAUCUCAGUUCGGAUUGUAGGCUGCAACUCGCCUACAUGAAGUCGGAAUCGCUAGUAAUCGCGGAUCAGCACGCCGCGGUGAAUACGUUCCCGGGCCUU
RNAcentral lists this ribosomal RNA (452 nucleotides) under uncultured Streptococcus sp. RNAcentral describes it as "bacterial SSU rRNA". It matches the Rfam family "Bacterial small subunit ribosomal RNA", at positions 927 to 1382 of the family's 1533-position model. The record is from RNAcentral. Lineage: Bacteria; Bacillati; Bacillota; Bacilli; Lactobacillales; Streptococcaceae.